CACGAACCCGACAAACGUUAUUCGGAAUUAUUGGGCUUAAAGGGUGCGUAGGCGGUGCGGUAAGUGCGGUGUGAAAUCCCACGGCUCAACCGUGGAAUUGCGCUGCAUACUGCCGUGCUGGAGGAAGACAGGGGUAAGCGGAACUGAUGGUGGAGCGGUGAAAUGCAUUGAUAUCAUCAGGAACACCGGUGGCGAAAGCGGCUUACUGGGUCUUUUCUGACGAUGAGGCACGGAAGCUAGGGUAGCGAACGGG
Molecule: ribosomal RNA, 253 nt
Filed under: uncultured bacterium
Lineage: Bacteria
Description: partial 16S ribosomal RNA
Rfam family: Bacterial small subunit ribosomal RNA
Source: RNAcentral